Molecule: long non-coding RNA, 2049 nt
Filed under: Paramuricea clavata
Lineage: Eukaryota; Metazoa; Cnidaria; Anthozoa; Malacalcyonacea; Plexauridae
Source: RNAcentral
GUGCUACUUCAGGAUUCAUGCACAUUGCUGUAACCACUGCCCAGCAAAACGUCUUAGUUUUGAUAUUUUUACCAAUUUUUAUGCUUGAUUUUUCAGCACCUACAUCACAUACAUCAACAGGAAAUCGUAAAAAAUUCUCUGAACAGCAAAGUCACACAACAACUGUAUCUUUAGUGAUCUCGUUAAUUUUUGGAAUUCUGUUCUUUGGGACCGUGGUGUUUCUGAUUGGUCGUCGCUGGAGUGAGCAAUGUUUCAGACGAGGAUAUUCACGUGUUGAUUAUCUGCUCAAUGAUUAUGAUUAAUGUUCUGUGACAUUCAAGGUACUUUAUUAAUGAUUACAGUCGUUGCAUUUUGAUGAGCGUAAUCACUGGCGUAUGCUUUGACUCUGGUGGAGACUUUGUGAAAUAUGUUUGUCCGAAUUCUUAAAGCUGGUUUAUACUAUCGAAGUUUCUGUGAUCACAGUAGGAUCGAUUUUUGCAUGGGUAAAUUCUUUGUAAGAACAGGGUUCGUACGCCCCCUGAAAAUCCUGGAAAACCCUGCAUUUUUAUUUUAGUCCUGAAAAACCCUUGACAACGCUGGAAUUUCAAAUUUAUCCCUUGAAAACCUGGGAAAACUGAGAAACUGAGCUGGGUAUAGGAUCAUACCUAAACUAUUUAAUACUAUCUUGAAAAGAAAGAUUGAACAAAAGUUUCUUGCAAUAUUAUAUAUAGUCGCAGGCUCGCAGCAUUUCUUGGGCAUAUCCUUCCAUUAAUUCCCCGGAGGGGUAGCUGGCCGGGGUUAGGGCUUGCGGUUAGGUUGCGGGGUUAGUAGGUGGGGUUAGGGGUUAGAAGGUGGGGUUAGGGGUUAGGAUUAGGGUUAGGAUUAGGGUUUUUACCCAACAACGCGCGCUGAAUUACCCAACAACGCGCGCUGAAUUACCCAACAACGCGCGCUGAAUGAUGGGAAUUGACACCUCGGGGCAGUCCCAUGGUCCUUUGCGUUAUAUUCAAUUUCAUCGCAUUCCCAUGAAUCAUUGCAUGAAUAAGCAAUGUUAGGGACUGUGGAAGAGUCGGGCCGUCGCGAAAGUUUCUUAUCGGUUAAACACUGAUAUUUAUAUUUCAAAUGCCCCUGGUAAAUCCUUGGAAAAGGAUGAAAAAAGUCCUGGAAAACCCUGGAUUUUUUAAACUAUGAAGGUGUACGAACCCCGUAAGAAAGUUUUGAGGGAAAUGACUAAUUAAACACCAAGUCAGUUUCCUCAAACAUUUCUUACAAAUCCUUCAAAAGUUAGAAUUGACCUAUGCAAAAUUCCUACUGUGAUCACAGAAACUUUGAUAGUGUAAACCAUGCAGCCUUUAUAUAAGCUUCUCGAAUAGAUGGGCUGCGGAAUUAUAGAUGCUGUAUUGGAGAACAUAUGUAUAGCACAUGGCAGAUAAUUAUUUAAUCUAAAUUAGAGAUAUAGGAAUUAAAUUAUUAGUAUUAAAUGUUAAGUUAUGAUUUGACGAUGCCAAUAAAAUAAUUUACUGAUAACCAAUAAUUCGAGGGGUAAUUUUUUAAUCCCAAGAAUCUUCGUAUCCGUUUCUCGGAGUAAUUUACCCCUCGCAAUAAUCCUCUGAAAAAAUGUGCACGCGAGAUUUAAAUCUCAACCUUCAGGACUCUAGUCCACUGCUCUUCUUGUUGAGCUAUCAAGCCUAUGGAGAUUGCUCGUGAGUUCUUAUGCUUUAUUAGUGCAGAGUUUCUUUGAAACUGUGCACUAUUGUGAUGACUGGGAAAAUUCACAUCAGUCAGUCAGUCAAUCAGUCAUAGAGUUAACUUUCCGGGGGGUGUAUUAUGUGUAUACGAUUUAUGUUUGUAGUGAUUUAUUGUGCUUUGAAGGUUAUUUAGGCAAUUUCAGUUGUUUUAUUUAAAUAUUCUUUUGUUCUUUUGCCAAGUUCACAAAAAUUUCGAGGAAUCGUUGUCGUUAUUGUAAAUUUUUGUAAAUUUUAAAACAUUCGCUUCUCAUGUUGUGUGAAGGAUCUUUCCUCCGGAAAACCCAUUUUUUUCCUUAGCAACGCAAAUGCGCAUGCGCUAUCA